This 446-nucleotide long non-coding RNA is filed under the name Homo sapiens (human). RNAcentral's name for it is "HSALNT0374028". Lineage: Eukaryota; Metazoa; Chordata; Mammalia; Primates; Hominidae. The record is from RNAcentral.
GAGGGUGCCUGAGGGGGAUGUGCUAAAGCCAAAGCACAUUUGCCCCCUCCCAGCGGGUAGGGGAGUGGUGGAGGCGGAGCACAGAGGUGUGGCCUGUCAGAGAAGGCGUUGUUACGACAGCACAGAGAGUACGGCCCUAGGAGCAGGACCCUGCACACAGCUGAGCUCAGAGGCUCCAGUCUGGCCACGAGAAUGCAAUGGGAGGUAUUCUUCAUUGAUCUUACUCGAAGUUGAGAACAUGUAUUUUGACUCUGAGAAAUGUGAGGGCCAGGCCUGCUCACUUGUGUGAGGGUGCAGGCUCUUAUGAUCUGGCUUUCAUUCUGGCUUCCUCUCUGUUGGAGUCUUCUCUUCCUCCCAUUUGGAAGUCAAGUCAAGACUUCUGCUCCUGCCCAGCCUGGACCACCUUGGUCUUGGACACUGGAAGCAAACCUGUGCUUUUUAAUUCU